RNAcentral lists this long non-coding RNA (343 nucleotides) under Oryctolagus cuniculus (rabbit). RNAcentral describes it as "lncRNA (ENSOCUG00000032556.1)". Lineage: Eukaryota; Metazoa; Chordata; Mammalia; Lagomorpha; Leporidae. The record is from RNAcentral.
GGGUGCUCCUUGUUGGCCUCCCUGCUGGGGUCCACCUUGUUGGGGUGCUCCUUGUGGGCCUCCCUGCUGGGGUCCUCCUUGUUGGGGUGCUCCUUGUUGGCCUCCCUGCUAGGGUCCUCCUAUGUUGGGGUGCUCCUUGUUGGCCUCCCUGCUGGGGUCCUCCUUGUUGGGGUGCUCCUUGUUGGCCCUCCCUGCUGGGGUCCUCCUUGUUGGGGGUGCUCCUUGUGGGCCUCCUCGUUGAGGUCCACCUUGUUGGGGUGCUCCUUGUGGGCCUCCUCGUUGAGCUCCACCUUGUUGGGGUGCUCCUUGUGGGCCUCCCUGCUGGGGUCCUCCUUGUUGGGGU